This 321-nucleotide ribosomal RNA is filed under the name Cercomonadidae sp. RNAcentral's name for it is "SSU rRNA". The stretch from base 109 to 321 matches the Rfam family "Eukaryotic small subunit ribosomal RNA", at positions 741 to 955 of the family's 1831-position model. The record is from RNAcentral. Lineage: Eukaryota; Cercozoa; Cercomonadida; Cercomonadidae.
GAUUUCUGGUUCGGCGCACUUGGCCCGUCUCGGUCUACGGGAUUGUGUGCCGGUGUGCGCCAUCCAUCCUUCAGGUGACCCUUUCGCCCUUUACUGGGUGGGAGAUUGACCCUGAUCUUUUACUUUGAAAAAAUUAGAGUGUUUAAAGCAGGCUUGCGCUAUGAAUACAUUAGCAUGGAAUAAUAAUUUAGGACUUUGGUCUUAUUUUGUUGGUUUCUAGGACUAAAGUAAUGAUUGAUAGGGACAGUUGGGGGUGCUAGUAUUCAGCGGCCAGAGGUGAAAUUCUUGGAUUCGCUGAAGACUAACUUAUGCGAAAGCAUU